UUUCGGCGGGCUUCCCGGGGACAAAAAUGGCUAUGGCUAGCGAUUUCUACCUGCGCUACUACGUAGGGCACAAGGGCAAGUUUGGGCACGAGUUUCUGGAGUUCGAAUUUCGGCCGGACAGAAAGCUUAGAUAUGCCAACAACAGCAAUUACAAAAAUGAUGUCAUGAUCAGAAAAGAGGCUUAUGUGCACAAGAGUGUAAUGGAAGAAGUGAAGAGAAUUAUUGAUGACAGUGAAAUUACAAAAGAAGAUGAUGCUUUGUGGCCUCCCCCUGAUAGGGUUGGCUGACAGGAGCUUGAAAUUGUAAUUGGAGAUGAGCACAUAUCAUUUACCACAUCAAAAAUAGGUUCUCUUAUUGAUGUAAAUCAGUCAAAGGAUCCUGAAGGUCUUCGAGUAUUUUACUAUUUGGUACAAGACUUGAAAUGUUUAGUUUUCAGUCUUAUUGGAUUACACUUCAAGAUUAAACCAAUUUAAAUUGUAUGUUUUCAAGCUGUUUGUAUAUUUAAUUAAGGGAUGGGAGGGGUUAUUUGUCAUUGACAAUAUUGGGGUUUUUAUGAAUGUGAAGCAAACAAAAAAAAAAUUUGUAUGUAAACUGAAAAUAAGAAAAUACAUUAGCCAGCUUAAUGGUUAUCCUUACUUGAGUCCACAUGGGUUGGACAGUCCCCACACACAUUAAAUUCUGUAAAUAAAAGCCACCUUUUGUUAAAACUUUGCUCUAAUAAAACAUACCAAAUCCUGAAAAAAAAAAAAA
Non-coding RNA from Chlorocebus sabaeus (green monkey), 750 nucleotides. The record is from RefSeq and is a predicted model, not a curated record. Lineage: Eukaryota; Metazoa; Chordata; Mammalia; Primates; Cercopithecidae.